This 253-nucleotide ribosomal RNA is filed under the name uncultured bacterium. RNAcentral's name for it is "partial 16S ribosomal RNA". It matches the Rfam family "Bacterial small subunit ribosomal RNA", at positions 524 to 776 of the family's 1533-position model. The record is from RNAcentral.
UACGUAGGGGGCAAGCGUUGUCCGGAAUCAUUGGGCGUAAAGAGCGCGUAGGCGGCCCUGUAAGUCCGCUGUGAAAGUCAAGGGCUCAACCCUUGGAUGCCGGUGGAUACUGCAGGGCUAGAGUCCGGAAGAGGCGAGUGGAAUUCCUGGUGUAGCGGUGAAAUGCGUAGAUAUCAGGAGGAAUACCGGUGGCGAAAGCGACUCUCUGGACGGCAACUGACGCUGAGGCACGAAAGCGUGGGGAGCAAACAGG